RNAcentral lists this ribosomal RNA (467 nucleotides) under uncultured bacterium. RNAcentral's name for it is "partial 16S ribosomal RNA". It matches the Rfam family "Bacterial small subunit ribosomal RNA", at positions 29 to 507 of the family's 1533-position model. The record is from RNAcentral.
ACGCACGCUGGCGGCGUGCUUCACCCCUGCAAGUCGAACGGAAAGGCCCUGCUUUUGUGGGGUGCUCGAGUGGCGAACGGGUGAGUAACACGUGAGUAACCUGCCCUUGACUUUGGGAUAACUUCAGGAAACUGGGGCUAAUACCGGAUAGGAGCUCCUGCUGCAUGGUGGGGGUUGGAAAGUUUCGGCGGUUGGGGAUGGACUCGCGGCUUAUCAGCUUGUUGGUGGGGUAGUGGCUUACCAAGGCUUUGACGGGUAGCCGGCCUGAGAGGGUGACCGGCCACAUUGGGACUGUGAUACGGCCCAGACUCCUACGGGAGGCAGCAGUGGGGAAUAUUGCACAAUGGGCGGAAGCCUGAUGCAGCAACGCCGCGUGCGGGAUGACGGCCUUCGGGUUGUAAACCGCUUUCGCCUGUGACGAAGCGUGAGUGACGGUAAUGGGUAAAGAAGCACCGGCUAACUACGUG